Molecule: long non-coding RNA, 1093 nt
Organism: Hemicordylus capensis (graceful crag lizard)
Lineage: Eukaryota; Metazoa; Chordata; Lepidosauria; Squamata; Cordylidae
Exons: 2
Source: RefSeq, a predicted model, not a curated record
GGCCUGCGGGAGGGUUGCACUGGGAGGAGGGACCCAACGCUAGUGCCUGCCUGUCCUCUAGUCUGCAACCAAUAUUUUUGCAACCAUGGCGGGCAUGUCGAGGAAGAAGCGGCUGCUUAAGCCUUUGUUAUUUGGAAGUAUCUUCUGCGCUUUAGCGACCGCCUUCGUGUUCAGACAUCGCUUUUUCCCUGAAGUAGACGAGCUCCGUGCCCGCGAGCACCAGUACCGCGAGGAGAAGCGCCAGGAGGUGCUGCAGAGGCGACAGCAACAGCUGGCUGAGCUUCAACAGAAGAAAACUGCCUCGUAGUUGGCCUGGCCUGCACUGCUGGAGCAAGACUGAGGCCACCUAAAUGGCCCACUAACUAAAUGAGCUGGGUGGUAUUUCUCUUGCACACCGUUGUUACCUGGGGUUUCUUACCCCCGGGCUUCUCAGUGCACUUAAGUGAUCUUAACGACUUCUAAUGCCUCCUUGGAGAGAUUAUGCUUUGUCUAGCUGCAGAACAGAGUUUUGAGGCUGAGGAAAUCUGAAAUUUUUGAUUUUUAAAAAAAGAUGGCUUUGAAUUGUAUGCUCAAUGGAAAUGGUCUUGCCAUGACUUGGAUGACGAGCUGAGUUUUGCUGAAUCUCUGCCACUCUAAACAUUUCAUGUAAAGUGACCCCCCCAUUUUUUAUUUUGGUAAUUUUUAUUGCUCUUGUGAAUAUUAUAGACUCACUAUGGAUUUUUUAAAAUGCAUGCUUAACAUUGCUAAUUUCUGUGCAGGAGCUUCUAGGUUCGGGUACACAAAGUAAAACUUGCUUUCCUUUUUGAAACACUUUUAAUUUUGAAACAUUAAUUUCUGUAAAUGAAUUACAAAUACAGGAUGAUGAAAGGUAAAGGCUUGAUUGUAAAACAAAUAUAUCCAACUGCUUUUAAUGGUUUAAUGUGAAAUUCUGAAUCUUGCUUUUUCUCCUAUACAUUCCUGCACAUAAAAUGAAUGACAAUCUCUACCUUAUUAUCAAAUACAAAUCAAUUUGUUCAAAAAGUGCUGCAUAUACUUUGUACUCCUGUCACAAUUAUAAAUGUGCUUCAAAUAAAAAUUGUGCAAUUUAAGUAAA